ACAAGAAAGAUGAGGAGAAGCAGUUGGACUCAAACAGUAUAAAAAGAACGCGAUUCUGAAAGAAGAAAUCAUCAGUUCUGACCCGGACCAAUUCCGGUGGCAGUGAACGGAAGUGUCCGACGACAAUUUCUAUUUUCGUUUGGUGGCAGCGAGGUGAUUUUCUAAGAUUCAAUUACGACCGGUGGUGCGGCAAUUUCUGAGUCGCAGCAGCGUUUUCAUUCCGUGUGAAUUAAUCCAACUAUAAUUUUAAUUCCUCUUCGCAUUCGGCAAUCGUGAACCUCCGGGCAGCAGAUACGGUGUUGGCAACAGCAACAUACUCUUUCUGAUGCAAUCUAGUGUCAGUUCCUAUAGCCCGGUGAAUUCCGAAAGUUCACCGGAGUAUGUUUGCGAAGGUAUGGACUACGACGUGUACAUACAGAUGAUGGAGGGUGAAGACCCGUACACACCUGGUUAUGCUCCCGAGGCUCCCACCAAUCCAGAUACUCCUGUGGCUCCGUCGGCCCCUUUUGUUUCUUGCCCGGUUAUGGAUGAGGUCCAGGCUACUUAUGGCUUUUACGCCAUAGAACCUUUAGAUAGUAGUGACCCCCUUGAGUUCAUUGUGCACUACCCAUACCCUUGGGACCCUAGUCCUCGGGACGUUUAGGAGGAAUGGUCAAUGGUUAUAACUACUUCUCGGUUUUUGGACCAUAUCACCUGGUACGAGGGGGGAGUGGCAUCUGGUCUGGGGAGAGUUCACCGGCCCCGUGUAUCGCAUGAUUGACUAGAUGUCGAGUUCUUGGGAGUCUUGGAAAUUUUUGGUGUACAUAAUUUUUGUAGCCUUAGUGAUGGCUAGGCAUGACCAGUUGCGUCUUAGUUGAACCUUGUUUAGUAUUUUGGCCGAGGGGCAAUCCUAUGUAUGUAUAACUUCAAGAAUGUAUGUUUUGCGUAAUGGAACUUUCUCAGUUGAUAUGUAUAAAGGUGCUUAAGUA
Long non-coding RNA from Ipomoea triloba (trilobed morning glory), 968 nucleotides. RefSeq lists it as uncharacterized. The transcript is spliced from 2 exons. The record is from RefSeq and is a predicted model, not a curated record. NCBI's taxonomy places the organism in Eukaryota, Viridiplantae, Streptophyta, Magnoliopsida, Solanales, Convolvulaceae.